ACUAUUUUUAGCUGGUAGCAAAAUGGCAGGCAUGGAUGUAAACAUGUGCGCCGAGAUCAUGUUGUGGAUUGAUACUGUGCGUGUGGAUGUCGAACUAUGCAGGAGAUAUGACUCCUAUACUACUUGUGUUGUGUAGAAGAGGUGAAAGAUGCGGGGUACCCGUGUCAUGGUGUUUGAUUCCAUAUGAUGUAUGCUCCAGUGACUCAUUACAAUCAACUGCUUCAGCCCCUAAGUUGAAUUUAUCCAAUUGCAUUUAACAUGUUUUUGGCUUAUGCGUGAGACCAUCUGUAUCAAUUGGUGAAUUGGCUGGUUCUACCUCCCUAUGUUCCUGCCUGUUACCCAGCUUUUCCUAUGUGGAGACCAUCGGCAUAAUUUUGUAUGAGGAAAACAAUUAUGUGCAUUGAUAACCUCCAAACAGAAAUAUCAACAUGAUUAUACAUGUUAAUUAUACAUAUACAAACCUAAUCUUACUACAUGUAUUUA
Long non-coding RNA from Magallana angulata, 483 nucleotides. RefSeq lists it as uncharacterized. The record is from RefSeq and is a predicted model, not a curated record. The transcript has 3 exons. Lineage: Eukaryota; Metazoa; Mollusca; Bivalvia; Ostreida; Ostreidae.